AACAGCACUGCGGGGCGGGGAACGGACAGAUGGAGAGACCGAGCUCCAAAACCGGCUCCCGGCGCCCGGGACCAGCCCAGACCGGCCAGCGGGGCCUCGAGUAGAUCAGGCACGAGAGUGUUGGCCGGUUGGGACGCCAGGGACAGAGACGAAGGCGAGCCUGGAGGAGGUCCGGGAGGAGUUCAAGUCCGAAGCCAGGGAUCAGGCCCGUCGCGGCCACCCCGAGAAACCUUUCCGAAACGGUAUCAGAUAUAUCAGUGAAUAAAAGAGACCCCUGUCCAAAGGAGUGAACAUAAAUGUCUCCAGGAACAUUAAUAAAGGAUCACGUUCUCCUUCA
Long non-coding RNA from Artibeus jamaicensis (Jamaican fruit-eating bat), 337 nucleotides. RefSeq lists it as uncharacterized. The transcript is spliced from 2 exons. NCBI's taxonomy places the organism in Eukaryota, Metazoa, Chordata, Mammalia, Chiroptera, Phyllostomidae. The record is from RefSeq and is a predicted model, not a curated record.